AACAGGAGGUGAUGACCCCACCCCCCUCAGUUUGCUGAUACGAAGGCUUGCCUUCUACGGUAUGAACUAAACUGAAGAGCGCCGUGGCAGAACCAGGAGUGACUGAACAUUCAGAAUGAUGAUCAUUGUUUGCUGCAUAACCUUGAACAUUAUACUGGUUUCAGUUUCCUCUUCAAGUGACCAAGUCCACCAGACUCCAAGAGACAUUUACAGUAAACCAGGAGAACCAGCCAGAAUACAAUGUUCACACCAGAUUCAAAGCUAUAACGUGAUCCUCUGGUACAAGAAGUUAAACAAACAGAUGCAGCUCCUGGGAUAUAUGUUUACAACCACCUCAAAUCCAGAGAAAGACGUUAAAGUGAAGAUGGAAGGGGACGCGAGUAAAGGAAAGAACUGCACGUUAAUAAUCGAGCGAGUCAAUCAGAACAGCAGUGCGGUCUAUUUCUGUGCAGCUAGUUUCCACAGUGCUGCAUGUCACUGCUCAGCAGUACAAAAACCUCCUCUUCAUCUCUACUGAACACCUGGAUUUCCUUUCUGAUAAUGUGGUUUAUUUUCAGCCUUUUUACUGAGCUGGUGUUGUGUGUCUGUGGUUGACAUGAUGCUAAGAGGAGGAGGAUAAACUACGGCUCCGCCCACCUUAUGACUACCUGUUCAGUUUGCUGAAAGGAGGUUUUAUGACAAGAGGAGGCUGGAAAAAGUCACUGAGAGUAUCAUAUAAGAAACAUUAUUACCAAACAGAAAAGGCAGCAUGAUCAUCUUCUACCUGAUCGUUCAUUUGAACAUGUUUCUGGUUUCAGUUUCCUCUUCAAGUGACCAAGUCCACCAGACUCCAAGAGACAUUUACAGCAAACCAGGAGAACCAGCCAGAAUACAAUGUUCACACCAGAUUCAAAGCUAUGAUCAAAUCCUCUGGUACAAGAAGUCAAAC
Long non-coding RNA from Labrus bergylta (ballan wrasse), 928 nucleotides. RefSeq lists it as uncharacterized. The record is from RefSeq and is a predicted model, not a curated record. NCBI's taxonomy places the organism in Eukaryota, Metazoa, Chordata, Actinopteri, Labriformes, Labridae.